RNAcentral lists this ribosomal RNA (279 nucleotides) under uncultured bacterium. RNAcentral's name for it is "partial 16S ribosomal RNA". It matches the Rfam family "Bacterial small subunit ribosomal RNA", at positions 506 to 784 of the family's 1533-position model. The record is from RNAcentral.
UGCCAGCCGCCGCGGUAAUACGGAGGGCGCAAGCGUUGUUCGGAAUCAUUGGGCGUAAAGCGCGCGUAGGCGGUUUGUUAAGUCAGAUGUGAAAGUCCACGGCUCAACCGUGGAAGUGCAUUUGAAACUGGCAGACUUGAGUACUGGAGGGGGUGGUGGAAUUCCCGGUGUAGAGGUGAAAUUCGUAGAUAUCGGGAGGAAUACCGGUGGCGAAGGCGACUGUCUGGCCGAAUACUGACGCUGAGGUGCGAAAGCGUGGGGAGCAAACAGGAUUAGAUA